CGAUAGAUCGGCGUGUGUCCUGGAUACGGGAUAGGAUGGCAGCCAUCAAUUCGGCCCCAAAACACUUUCCGGUUAGUACUCCUGCCGAAAGCAAAAGCGAAGCCAAUUAAACUCACCAUCACCAAUGGAAAGGCCGCAGCUGGGGAGCGCCGCGUAAUCCUCUUUGCUGUUCACGCACUCCCCCUCCCCAAUCCCACUCGGUGCUCGCUAGCUGCUCUCUCCAGCCGCCGGCCGGAGGAAGGCAAGAAUGCGGAAGGAAUCCACCGGCGGCGGCGGCGGCAUUGCGGCUGCUAGUCCGCCCCCCGCGCUCCUCUGCUUCGACCUCAAGCCCUUCCUCGCCGCGCUCACCGUGGUCACGCUCCUCACCGCCGCCUGGCAGCUCCGGCCCUACUACCAGUACCACUCCAUCCUCGCCUCCUCCCCCUUCCCCGCCUGCCCCGACCCGCCGGCCUCUUCCUCGCCGCCUCGCCUGCUCGCCAUCGACGGCAAGGCCUCCAAAUCGAAUGCAUCUUCCUCCUCGUCGCCACUGCCGAAGCAGGAUGAGCGGCGUGCCGCGCCGGACCCCAACAGGCGGGAGUUCCGCGCGGUGGGGAGCGCCGCGGCGCUGUUCGUGCAGAUGGGGGCCUACCGCGGCGGGCCGUACACCUUCGCCGUUGUUGGGCUGGCCUCCAAGCCCACCCAUGUAUACGGCAAGCCCUGGUUCCGCUGCGAGUGGGUGCCCAACAACGCCUCCCAGCCGACGCGCGCGGGCAAGGCGUACCACAUGCUCCCGGACUGGGGCUACGGCCGGGUCUACACCGUCGUGGUGGUGAACUGCACCUUCUCCUCCUUCGCCCCCAACGCCGACAACGCGGGCGGCAAGCUCCUGCUCAACGCCUACUAUGGCCCUUCCCCGGCGCGGUACGAGCGCAUCGUGGCCCUGGAGGAGGCCCCCGGGGCGUACGACUCCGCCGCGUUCGCGCAGCACAGGUACGACUACCUCUACUGCGGCUCGUCCCUGUUCGGCGAGCUCAGCGCGGCGCGGGUGCGGGAGUGGAUGGCGUACCACGCGCGCUUCUUCGGCCCGCGCUCGCACUUCGUCUUCCACGACGCCGGCGGGGUGACGAGCCCCGCCGUGAGGGCCGCGCUGGAGCCGUGGGUGCGCGCCGGACGCGCCACGCUGCAGGACGUGCGCGCGCAGGCGGAGUACGACGGGUGGUACCACAACCAGUUCCUCGUCGUCAACGACUGCCUGCACCGGUACCGGCACGCGGCGAAAUGGACCUUCUUCUUCGACGUCGACGAGUACAUCUUCAUCCCCGGCGGCCGCACGCUCGAGAGCGUCAUGGCCGAGCUCGAGCCCUACACGCAGUUCACCAUCGAGCAGAACCCCAUGUCGAGCAGGUUGUGCGCACGGGAUCCCGGCGAUCCUAAAGCUGACUACUCCAACCAAUGGGGGUUCGAGAAGCUGGUUUUCCGAAAUUCGAUCACUGGGGUAAGGCGUGACAGGAAGUAUGCGAUCCAGGCCAAGAAUGCCUACGCCACGGGUGUACAUAUGUCGGAGAACGUUAUUGGCAACACCACUCACAAGACGGAGCACCUCAUCCGAUACUAUCACUACCACAAUACCAUCAAUGUGCUCGGCGAGGUAUGCCGUGAAUUUGUGCCUGUACCGCCUAAAGGUGGCGUUACAUGGUCUGAGAAGACGCCCUGGUACUACGACGACAGUAUGAAGCGCGUGGCCAACGCUGUACGGGAAUUCGAGAGGAAUACCAUUGGUAAUGUGCGAGUGUGAAUGUGGCAUUGGCAUGACCACCAGAGAACAAAAUGGUGUAUAUAUUAUAGCCAUUGGCCAUUCAUGAAGCUUGACAAGGGCAUCCCUGAUUUGAUCAGCCUAACGGGUAAGUUAUGAUCUGGAGCUCUCUGAGCCCAAAGAGAUGCGAAGAAAGCGAAGCUGUAGCUCCAAAGGAUUGGCAGAUUGUGUGCCACUACAAUUCAGAUUCUAAUCUGCAAAGAUUCUGCAGAACAGCCCAAUACAGCCAAGAAGACGGGCCAAGCCGGUUUUUUUUCAAGAAUGCAGGCCGAUGACACACUUGCUGUAACUCUGCAAUUCUGGAUCCAGAAAGCAUUACUAAUGCUUAGUGCAACCCAAACGUCAACCUUUGCAGUCUGAAAUUGCAAUAAGGGAACAGUAAACUGCAUUGCCGUUUCGACCAAAUUGGGCGUUUCCUUUAUUUCCUUUUUUCUUAACAGAAACAAUUGUAGUACUUAUCUUUUCGGAAUUGCUAGGGAGCAGUCGUUGAUUUCUCAGUCGACAGAAAAAUUGAUCCGAGAUAAAUAGGAUGACAACUCACCAUGCAUAGCAAAACCUAGUUGGAUUGGUGGUUUAACAUUAUCUGCCAUUUUGAA
RNA transcript from Brachypodium distachyon (stiff brome), 2388 nucleotides. It is a transcript of the gene named galactan beta-1,4-galactosyltransferase GALS1, with no coding region annotated. The record is from RefSeq and is a predicted model, not a curated record. The transcript is spliced from 3 exons. Lineage: Eukaryota; Viridiplantae; Streptophyta; Magnoliopsida; Poales; Poaceae.